GGAUCAGUACAGGGGCCCGCAGCUCCCUCACUAUCUGGCAAACCACACAUUUCUGAUUGUGACCCCACAUGGCUCUUUAAGGCCUCAGAGACUGCUCACCAGGUGCCGAGCAAUUCCACUGCAACCUUGUCAUUUUUAAUAGCAGAGUCCCUCACCUUGACCUCAAUUUGGUCCCAUGUUUCAGGAUCAUAAACUGUAUGAUUGUUAAUAAAGGGAAUAAGCUGUGAGGUUACC
This is a long non-coding RNA of Oxyura jamaicensis (ruddy duck), 234 nucleotides long. RefSeq lists it as uncharacterized. The transcript is spliced from 3 exons. Lineage: Eukaryota; Metazoa; Chordata; Aves; Anseriformes; Anatidae. The record is from RefSeq and is a predicted model, not a curated record.